This 495-nucleotide ribosomal RNA is filed under the name uncultured bacterium. RNAcentral's name for it is "partial 16S ribosomal RNA". It matches the Rfam family "Bacterial small subunit ribosomal RNA", at positions 28 to 505 of the family's 1533-position model. The record is from RNAcentral.
GAGGAAAGAGGGAGGCGUGCCUAAUACAUGCAAGUCGAGCGAACAGAUGAGGAGCUUGCUCCUCUGACGUUAGCGGCGGACGGGUGAGUAACACGUGGAUAACCUACCUAUAAGACUGGGAUAACUUCGGGAAACCGGAGCUAAUACCGGAUAAUAUAUUGAACCGCAUGGUUCAAUAGUGAAAGACGGUUUUGCUGUCACUUAUAGAUGGAUCCGCGCCGCAUUAGCUAGUUGGUAAGGUAACGGCUUACCAAGGCAACGAUGCGUAGCCGACCUGAGAGGGUGAUCGGCCACACUGGAACUGAGACACGGUCCAGACUCCUACGGGAGGCAGCAGUAGGGAAUCUUCCGCAAUGGGCGAAAGCCUGACGGAGCAACGCCGCGUGAGUGAUGAAGGUCUUCGGAUCGUAAAACUCUGUUAUUAGGGAAGAACAAAUGUGUAAGUAACUAUGCACGUCUUGACGGUACCUAAUCAGAAAGCCACGGCUAACUACG